AUUGAACGCUGGCGGCAGGCCUAACACAUGCGAGUCGAGCGGAUGAAGGGAGCUUGCUCCUGGAUUCAGCGGCGGACGGGUGAGUAAUGCCUAGGAAUCUGCCUGGUAGUGGGGGAUAACGUCCGGAAACGGGCGCUAAUACCGCAUACGUCCUGAGGGAGAAAGUGGGGGAUCUUCGGACCUCACGCUAUCAGAUGAGCCUAGGUCGGAUUAGCUAGUUGGUGGGGUAAAGGCCUACCAAGGCGACGAUCCGUAACUGGUCUGAGAGGAUGAUCAGUCACACUGGAACUGAGACACGGUCCAGACUCCUACGGGAGGCAGCAGUGGGGAAUAUUGGACAAUGGGCGAAAUCCUGAUCCAGCCAUGCCGCGUGUGUGAAGAAGGUCUUCGGAUUGUAAAGCACUUUAAGUUGGGAGGAAGGGCAGUAAGUUAAUACCUUGCUGUUUUGACGUUACCAACAGAAUAAGCACCGGCUAACUUCGUG
RNAcentral lists this ribosomal RNA (484 nucleotides) under uncultured bacterium. RNAcentral describes it as "partial 16S ribosomal RNA". It matches the Rfam family "Bacterial small subunit ribosomal RNA", at positions 30 to 507 of the family's 1533-position model. The record is from RNAcentral.